This 686-nucleotide ribosomal RNA is filed under the name Streptomyces prasinosporus. Its description in RNAcentral is "bacterial SSU rRNA". It matches the Rfam family "Bacterial small subunit ribosomal RNA", at positions 56 to 760 of the family's 1533-position model. The record is from RNAcentral. Lineage: Bacteria; Bacillati; Actinomycetota; Actinomycetes; Kitasatosporales; Streptomycetaceae.
UGCAGUCGAACGAUGAACCACUUCGGUGGGGAUUAGUGGCGAACGGGUGAGUAACACGUGGGCAAUCUGCCCUGCACUCUGGGACAAGCCCUGGAAACGGGGUCUAAUACCGGAUAUGAGCCUCCAUCGCAUGGUGGGGGCUGUAAAGCUCCGGCGGUGCAGGAUGAGCCCGCGGCCUAUCAGCUUGUUGGUGAGGUAACGGCUCACCAAGGCGACGACGGGUAGCCGGCCUGAGAGGGCGACCGGCCACACUGGGACUGAGACACGGCCCAGACUCCUACGGGAGGCAGCAGUGGGGAAUAUUGCACAAUGGGCGCAAGCCUGAUGCAGCGACGCCGCGUGAGGGAUGACGGCCUUCGGGUUGUAAACCUCUUUCAGCAGGGAAGAAGCGAAAGUGACGGUACCUGCAGAAGAAGCGCCGGCUAACUACGUGCCAGCAGCCGCGGUAAUACGUAGGGCGCGAGCGUUGUCCGGAAUUAUUGGGCGUAAAGAGCUCGUAGGCGGCCUGUCGCGUCGGUUGUGAAAGCCCGGGGCUUAACCCCGGGUCUGCAGUCGAUACGGGCAGGCUAGAGUUCGGUAGGGGAGAUCGGAAUUCCUGGUGUAGCGGUGAAAUGCGCAGAUAUCAGGAGGAACACCGGUGGCGAAGGCGGAUCUCUGGGCCGAUACUGACGCUGAGGAGCGAAACU